GAUGAACGCUGGCGGCGUGCCUAAUACAUGCAAGUCGAGCGAACGGACGAGAAGCUUGCUUCUCUGAUGUUAGCGGCGGACGGGUGUGUAACACGUGGAUAACCUACCUAUAAGACUGGGAUAACUUCGGGAAACCGUAGCUAAUACCGGAUAAUAUUUUGAACCGCAUGGUUCAAAAGUGAAGGACGGUCUUGCUGUCACUUAUAGAUGGAUCCGCGCUGCAUUAGCUAGUUGGUAAGGUAACGGCUUACCAAGGCAACGAUGCAUAGCCGACCUGAGAGGGUGAUCGGCCACACUGGAACUGAGACACGGUCCAGACUCCUACGGGAGGCAGCAGUAGGGAAUCUUCCGCAAUGGGCGAAAGCCUGACGGAGCAACGCCGCGUGAGUGAUGAAGGUCUUCGGAUCGUAAAACUCUGUUAUUAGGGAAGAACAUAUGUGUAAGUAACUGUGCACAUCUUGACGGUACCUAAUCAGAAAGCCACGGCUAACUACGUG
Molecule: ribosomal RNA, 497 nt
Filed under: uncultured bacterium
Lineage: Bacteria
Description: partial 16S ribosomal RNA
Rfam family: Bacterial small subunit ribosomal RNA
Source: RNAcentral